CUGGAGUUAGUCGAUCCUAAGGAUUACCUCAACAGAGUAAUUCGAAAGGGAAACUGGUUAAUAUUCCAGUACCUUGCAAGUUGCGUUAUUAUCUAUAUGAACCGCUUCCGGAUAGGGGGAGCAUAACCAUCGUUGUGUCUAAGCGUUCGAGAGAUGGGGAGUGUCGUAAUGACGAGAACCAUCUCGAGGCGUUAAUGGCUCUGCGUUAGCAGAGUUCUCUUGAGUCCAGGGGACCUUGAAAAUUUGUGUAGAAAGUGACUUGCAAGCUCGUACCGAGAACCGACACAGGUGCGCUGGCUUAGAAAGCUAAGGUGCUACGGGUAUACCGUAUGGUGAGGGAAUUCGGCAAAUUAGUCCUGUAGCUUAGGUAUAAGGGAUGCCUGCACACUUCAUGAGGAAUGGGGUGAGCAGGUUGCAAUGACAAGGGGGUUUCGACUGUUUAAUAAAAACACAGGCGACUGCUAGUCCGAAAGGAUUUGUAUAGUCGCUGAAUCCUGGCCGGUGCGGGUACCUAAAACUUGGGUUCAACCGAGCUAAGGGCCCGUUAACGCCGGGAGUAACUCUGACUCUCUUAAGGUAGCCAAAUGCCUUGUCGGGUAAGUUCCGACGCGCAUGAAUGGAACAACGAGAGCCCCACUGUCCCCACCUACAACCCGGUGAAGCCACAUAAGGUGGACGAACAGUCCAUCAACUUCCAUCGGGGAGAGAAGACCCCGUGGAGUUUUACUGCAGCUUGUGCUUGUAGUAUAGUAAAGAUUACAUAGUGUAUUUGGGAGCCAUGCCUCAUUUUCUUUGGGAGAUGAGUGAAGCAACGAUGUAACACCAAAUUAUUUUUGCAGUACUACUUACCCGGUGCAGACCGGGGACAUGUGCAGGUAGGCAGUUCGGCUGGGGCGGCACCCCUCUGAAAAGAUAUCAGAGGGGCCCAAAGUUUAGUUCAAACGGGUCAGAAAUCCGUUGAAGAGGGCAAAGCCAAAAACUAGACUGACUGGAUUUCCAAACGCACGGAAUUCAGAGACGAAAGUCGGGCUUAGCGAUCCUUCGUGUGCCCACUAUUGGGGCCCGAAGGUGACAGAAAAAUUACCCCAGGGAUAACAGGCUCGUCGCGGGCGAGAGCUCCUAUCGACCCCGCGGUUUGGUACCUCGAUGUCGGCUUUUCCUAUCCUGGUCCUGCAGCAGGGGCCAAGGGUGAGGCUGCUCGCCUAUUAAAAGGGAACAUGAGCUGGGUUUAGACCGUCGUGAGACAGGUCGGUCUCUGCCUGAUGGAAGCGUCGCUGUCUGAGGGGAAGUUGCUCUUAGUACGAGAGGAACAGAGCAUCGUCGCCGCUGGUGUACCGGUUGUCUGAUAAGGCAGGCCGGGCAGCUAAGCGAUUUAGGUUAAGUGCUGAAAGCAUCUAAGCACGAAGCCUAUCCCGAGACAUGACAGCGUUACGUUAGUUGAAGGUUCGCAGCAGAAGACUGCGUUGAUAGAAUGGAGGUGUAGAUCACAAGCUUCGGCGAGUGGUGAGCCUGCCAUUACUAAUAGACCAAAACAUC
RNAcentral lists this ribosomal RNA (1536 nucleotides) under marine metagenome. RNAcentral's name for it is "bacterial LSU rRNA". It matches the Rfam family "Archaeal large subunit ribosomal RNA", at positions 1462 to 2987 of the family's 2987-position model. The record is from RNAcentral.